RNAcentral lists this ribosomal RNA (432 nucleotides) under uncultured bacterium. Its description in RNAcentral is "bacterial SSU rRNA". It matches the Rfam family "Bacterial small subunit ribosomal RNA", at positions 29 to 506 of the family's 1533-position model. The record is from RNAcentral.
AUGAACGCUGGCAGCGUGCCUAACACAUGCAAGUCGAACGGUCCGCAAGGACAGUGGCAGACGGGUGAGUAAUGGUUGGGAACAUACCCAGAAGUGGGGGAUAGCCGCCCGAAAGGGUGGGUAAUCCCGCAUGUUAUCGCAAGAUCAAAGCAUUUAUGCGCUUCUGGAGUGGCCCAACUCCUAUCAGCUAGUUGGUGGGGUAAUGGCCUACCAAGGCAACGACGGGUAGCUGGUCUGAGAGGAUGACCAGCCACAAUGAGACUGAGACAAGGCUCAUACACCUACGGGUGGCAGCAGUUGGGAAUAUUGCACAAUGGACGAAAGUCUGAUGCAGCGACGCUGCGUGAAGGAUGAAGGCUCUCGGGUCGUAAACUUCUUUUGGCGGGGAGUAAUCUUGAAAGUACCCGCAGAAUAAGCACCGGCUAACUACGU